RNAcentral lists this ribosomal RNA (1047 nucleotides) under Salmonella enterica. RNAcentral describes it as "partial 23S ribosomal RNA". It matches the Rfam family "Bacterial large subunit ribosomal RNA", at positions 711 to 1757 of the family's 2925-position model. RNAcentral also lists the same sequence under 1 other name. The record is from RNAcentral. Lineage: Bacteria; Pseudomonadati; Pseudomonadota; Gammaproteobacteria; Enterobacterales; Enterobacteriaceae.
AGACCCGAAACCCGGUGAUCUAGCCAUGGGCAGGUUGAAGGUUGGGUAACACUAACUGGAGGACCGAACCGACUAAUGUUGAAAAAUUAGCGGAUGACCUGUGGCUGGGGGUGAAAGGCCAAUCAAACCGGGAGAUAGCUGGUUCUCCCCGAAAGCUAUUUAGGUAGCGCCUCGUGAAUUCAUCUCCGGGGGUAGAGCACUGUUUCGGCUAGGGGGCCAUCCCGGCUUACCAACCCGAUGCAAACUGCGAAUACCGGAGAAUGUUAUCACGGGAGACACACGGCGGGUGCUAACGUCCGUCGUGAAGAGGGAAACAACCCAGACCGCCAGCUAAGGUCCCAAAGUCAUGGUUAAGUGGGAAACGAUGUGGGAAGGCCCAGACAGCCAGGAUGUUGGCUUAGAAGCAGCCAUCAUUUAAAGAAAGCGUAAUAGCUCACUGGUCGAGUCGGCCUGCGCGGAAGAUGUAACGGGGCUAAACCAUGCACCGAAGCUGCGGCAGCGACACUUUAGUGUUGUUGGGUAGGGGAGCGUUCUGUAAGCCGUUGAAGGUGUCCUGUGAGGGGUGCUGGAGGUAUCAGAAGUGCGAAUGCUGACAUAAGUAACGAUAAAGCGGGUGAAAAGCCCGCUCGCCGGAAGACCAAGGGUUCCUGUCCAACGUUAAUCGGGGCAGGGUGAGUCGACCCCUAAGGCGAGGCCGAAAGGCGUAGUCGAUGGGAAACGGGUUAAUAUUCCCGUACUUGGUGUUACUGCGAAGGGGGGACGGAGAAGGCUAUGUUGGCCGGGCGACGGUAGUCCCGGUUUAAGCGUGUAGGCUGGUUUUCCAGGCAAAUCCGGAAAAUCAAGGCUGAGGCGUGAUGACGAGGCACCACGGUGCUGAAGCAACAAAUGCCCUGCUUCCAGGAAAAGCCUCUAAGCAUCAGGUAACAUCAAAUCGUACCCCAAACCGACACAGGUGGUCAGGUAGAGAAUACCAAGGCGCUUGAGAGAACUCGGGUGAAGGAACUAGGCAAAAUGGUGCCGUAACUUCGGGAGAAGGCACGCUGACAC